RNAcentral lists this ribosomal RNA (492 nucleotides) under uncultured bacterium. Its description in RNAcentral is "partial 16S ribosomal RNA". It matches the Rfam family "Bacterial small subunit ribosomal RNA", at positions 29 to 507 of the family's 1533-position model. The record is from RNAcentral.
AGUGAACGCUGGCGGUAGGCCUAACACAUGCAAGUCGAACGGCAGCACAGUAAGAGCUUGCUCUUACGGGUGGCGAGUGGCGGACGGGUGAGGCAUACAUCGGAAUCUACUUUUUCGUGGGGGAUAACGUAGGGAAACUUACGCUAAUACCGCAUACGUCCUACGGCUGAGAGCAGUGGAUCCUCGCACCUUGCCCGAUUGUAUGAGCUGAUGUCGGAUUAGCUAGUUGGCGGGGUAAAGGCCCACCAAGGCGACGAUCCGUAGCUGGUCUGAGAGGAUGAUCAGCCACACUGGAACUGAGACACGGUCCAGACUCCUACGGGAGGCAGCAGUGGGGAAUAUUGGACAAUGGGCGCAAGCCUGAUCCAGCCAUACCGCGUGAGUGAAGAAGGCCUUCGGGUUGUAAAGCCCUUUUGUUGGGAAAGAAAAGCAGCAGGUUAAUCCCCCGCUGUUCUGACGGUACCCAAAGAAUAAGCACCGGCUAACUUCGUG